Gasterosteus aculeatus aculeatus (three-spined stickleback) is the source of this 1295-nucleotide long non-coding RNA. The record is from Ensembl. NCBI's taxonomy places the organism in Eukaryota, Metazoa, Chordata, Actinopteri, Perciformes, Gasterosteidae.
ACCACUUUAAGCCCCUGUAGAAAAGAGAAGGUUGAAGUCACCACCGGGCUCCACAUGCAUUUGCUCCACCCUGUAUCAUUUCAUAAUUCACCAUAUAAAUAAAUCUGUGUCCUAUUAUUUUCAGAACAUCUCAGUGGGAGGCGGAAGGAUAUCGUAGGUACCAGCAUCACAUUGACUGUUACGCUUUGUACACUGUGCUUUACAAAGAAGGCAGACAAUAUGAUUUGUUGAUAUGUACCGGCAUAACCGUCUCGUACUGGUUGAGCUCUGUUCAUCCUCUUUCUGCGUGUGCUGGAGGUUGUGAGUGACAAGGUCUUCUGAAAGCUGGUCAGUGAUCAGACUGAGAGCCCUGGCUGCUACAGACAACAGAGAGCAGUUUGUUAUGGACACUGCGGUGCAGCUAGAGACGGACCUCUCCCUGCAUGGAGAGCUGCAGGCUACUGGAAGAGAAGGAUCAGGCGGUCAUGGUGGGUGAUUUUGCCAUAUCUUGCUUCAAACACCUAAAGAAAAUGUAUCCUGGUUUGACAUGAUCAUUUACUUCCUCUGUGAGAACGUGGUACACGUUUCAUGUACUGAAGAACUCUAUCGCCCCCUUCCCGCUUGUGCAAGCCGGGCCGGACCCCUCCACCCGAGACGAGUGGUGGAGGAAGUGGAGGGGCUUCACCAGGUCAAACACCCACCCUGGACACCCCAACGGACGUCCGUCCCCCAGUCGGAUGUCAUGCAGGUGGAAUUCACAAUGAAUGUAGUCACAGAAAACGAUCAGAGGCCUGUUCACACAAGAGAAACAGACUAGUUGACAACUUCACAGAAUAAUAUGUUUGUUUAUUUCAGAAAAUGGCAACUAUUUUUCAUGAUUGGAUACCCUUUCUCUUGGACUUGUGACAAAUCAUCGAUUGGGGUGGUGAGUGUGUACGCCCUCUCCUCGUUAUCCGCUUCAUGACAAGCCGCCAUAGUGAACACAUAAGCCUGUUACUUUCCUGAUGGGUUUUCAGAGCACAGUGGUAACCCACUUAGUCAUGCCACCCACCCCUCCAAAACGUGGCACUUUUCCAGAACAAAAUGCUUAGCUGGUUUAAUGAAUUCUUCUCAACUCGAUACCCCAAACAGUCACAACGCCUCCUGUCACUGAGAAAGCGCCUAUGUGCGGUUUACAGAUUCGGCCUGAAAAAUGUGUGUUUUGUCGUGCUGUAGACUGGGUCUGUGACUCUUUGUGUGUAUUUUCUUUUAUCUGUACAAUUGGAUAUUAAAAUACAUGUAAGAACAAUCAAAUUGUGUUCAUUCCAACUAUGUGU